GCUAAACGCGAAGAACCUUACCCAGACUUGACAUGCACUAGACCGCUUCAGAAAUGAAGCUUCCCUUCGGGGCGUGGUGCACAGGUGCUGCAUGGCUGUCGUCAGCUCGUGCCGUGAGGUGUUGGGUUAAGUCCCGCAACGAGCGCAACCCUUAUCAUUAGUUGCCAACACGUAAUGGUGGGAACUCUAAUGAGACUGCCUGGGUUAACCAGGAGGAAGGUGAGGAUGACGUCAAGUCCGCAUGGCCCUUAUGUCUGGGGCUACACACGUGCUACAAUGGUCGGUACAAAAGGCAGCGAAACCGUGAGGUGAAGCAAAUCCCGAAAGCCGGCCCAGUUCCAGAUUGUAGUCUGCAACUCGACUACAUGAAGAUGGAAUUGCUAGUAAUGGCGAGUCAGCAACAUCGCCGUGAAU
This 414-nucleotide ribosomal RNA is filed under the name uncultured bacterium. RNAcentral describes it as "bacterial SSU rRNA". It matches the Rfam family "Bacterial small subunit ribosomal RNA", at positions 954 to 1367 of the family's 1533-position model. The record is from RNAcentral.